GGGUUGUGAGGUUAAGCGACUAAGCGUACACGGUGGAUGCCCUGGCAGUCAGAGGCGAUGAAGGACGUGCUAAUCUGCGAUAAGCGUCGGUAAGGUGAUAUGAACCGUUAUAACCGGCGAUUUCCGAAUGGGGAAACCCAGUGUGUUUCGACACACUAUCAUUAACUGAAUCCAUAGGUUAAUGAGGCGAACCGGGGGAACUGAAACAUCUAAGUACCCCGAGGAAAAGAAAUCAACCGAGAUUCCCCCAGUAGCGGCGAGCGAACGGGGAGCAGCCCAGAGCCUGAAUCAGUGUGUGUGUUAGUGGAAGCGUCUGGAAAGGCGCGCGAUACAGGGUGACAGCCCCGUACACAAAAAUGCACAUGCUGUGAGCUCGAUGAGUAGGGCGGGACACGUGGUAUCCUGUCUGAAUAUGGGGGGACCAUCCUCCAAGGCUAAAUACUCCUGACUGACCGAUAGUGAACCAGUACCGUGAGGGAAAGGCGAAAAGAACCCCGGCGAGGGGAGUGAAAAAGAACCUGAAACCGUGUACGUACAAGCAGUGGGAGCCUCUUUUAUGGGGUGACUGCGUACCUUUUGUAUAAUGGGUCAGCGACUUAUAUUCUGUAGCAAGGUUAACCGAAUAGGGGAGCCGAAGGGAAACCGAGUCUUAACUGGGCGUUAAGUUGCAGGGUAUAGACCCGAAACCCGGUGAUCUAGCCAUGGGCAGGUUGAAGGUUGGGUAACACUAACUGGAGGACCGAACCGACUAAUGUUGAAAAAUUAGCGGAUGACUUGUGGCUGGGGGUGAAAGGCCAAUCAAACCGGGAGAUAGCUGGUUCUCCCCGAAAGCUAUUUAGGUAGCGCCUCGUGAAUUCAUCUCCGGGGGUAGAGCACUGUUUCGGCAAGGGGGUCAUCCCGACUUACCAACCCGAUGCAAACUGCGAAUACCGGAGAAUGUUAUCACGGGAGACACACGGCGGGUGCUAACGUCCGUCGUGAAGAGGGAAACAACCCAGACCGCCAGCUAAGGUCCCAAAGUCAUGGUUAAGUGGGAAACGAUGUGGGAAGGCCCAGACAGCCAGGAUGUUGGCUUAGAAGCAGCCAUCAUUUAAAGAAAGCGUAAUAGCUCACUGGUCGAGUCGGCCUGCGCGGAAGAUGUAACGGGGCUAAACCAUGCACCGAAGCUGCGGCAGCGACACUGUGUGUUGUUGGGUAGGGGAGCGUUCUGUAAGCCUGUGAAGGUGUACUGUGAGGUAUGCUGGAGGUAUCAGAAGUGCGAAUGCUGACAUAAGUAACGAUAAAGCGGGUGAAAAGCCCGCUCGCCGGAAGACCAAGGGUUCCUGUCCAACGUUAAUCGGGGCAGGGUGAGUCGACCCCUAAGGCGAGGCCGAAAGGCGUAGUCGAUGGGAAACAGGUUAAUAUUCCUGUACUUGGUGUUACUGCGAAGGGGGGACGGAGAAGGCUAUGUUGGCCGGGCGACGGUUGUCCCGGUUUAAGCGUGUAGGCUGGUUUUCCAGGCAAAUCCGGAAAAUCAAGGCUGAGGCGUGAUGACGAGGCACUACGGUGCUGAAGCAACAAAUGCCCUGCUUCCAGGAAAAGCCUCUAAGCAUCAGGUAACAUCAAAUCGUACCCCAAACCGACACAGGUGGUCAGGUAGAGAAUACCAAGGCGCUUGAGAGAACUCGGGUGAAGGAACUAGGCAAAAUGGUGCCGUAACUUCGGGAGAAGGCACGCUGAUAUGUAGGUGAAGCGACUUGCUCGUGGAGCUGAAAUCAGUCGAAGAUACCAGCUGGCUGCAACUGUUUAUUAAAAACACAGCACUGUGCAAACACGAAAGUGGACGUAUACGGUGUGACGCCUGCCCGGUGCCGGAAGGUUAAUUGAUGGGGUCAGCGCAAGCGAAGCUCUUGAUCGAAGCCCCGGUAAACGGCGGCCGUAACUAUAACGGUCCUAAGGUAGCGAAAUUCCUUGUCGGGUAAGUUCCGACCUGCACGAAUGGCGUAAUGAUGGCCAGGCUGUCUCCACCCGAGACUCAGUGAAAUUGAACUCGCUGUGAAGAUGCAGUGUACCCGCGGCAAGACGGAAAGACCCCGUGAACCUUUACUAUAGCUUGACACUGAACAUUGAGCCUUGAUGUGUAGGAUAGGUGGGAGGCUUUGAAGUGUGGACGCCAGUCUGCAUGGAGCCGACCUUGAAAUACCACCCUUUAAUGUUUGAUGUUCUAACGUGGACCCGUGAUCCGGGUUGCGGACAGUGUCUGGUGGGUAGUUUGACUGGGGCGGUCUCCUCCUAAAGAGUAACGGAGGAGCACGAAGGUUGGCUAAUCCUGGUCGGACAUCAGGAGGUUAGUGCAAUGGCAUAAGCCAGCUUGACUGCGAGCGUGACGGCGCGAGCAGGUGCGAAAGCAGGUCAUAGUGAUCCGGUGGUUCUGAAUGGAAGGGCCAUCGCUCAACGGAUAAAAGGUACUCCGGGGAUAACAGGCUGAUACCGCCCAAGAGUUCAUAUCGACGGCGGUGUUUGGCACCUCGAUGUCGGCUCAUCACAUCCUGGGGCUGAAGUAGGUCCCAAGGGUAUGGCUGUUCGCCAUUUAAAGUGGUACGCGAGCUGGGUUUAGAACGUCGUGAGACAGUUCGGUCCCUAUCUGCCGUGGGCGCUGGAGAACUGAGGGGGGCUGCUCCUAGUACGAGAGGACCGGAGUGGACGCAUCACUGGUGUUCGGGUUGUCAUGCCAAUGGCACUGCCCGGUAGCUAAAUGCGGAAGAGAUAAGUGCUGAAAGCAUCUAAGCACGAAACUUGCCCCGAGAUGAGUUCUCCCUGAC
Molecule: ribosomal RNA, 2801 nt
Filed under: Escherichia coli
Lineage: Bacteria; Pseudomonadati; Pseudomonadota; Gammaproteobacteria; Enterobacterales; Enterobacteriaceae
Description: bacterial LSU rRNA
Rfam family: Bacterial large subunit ribosomal RNA
Source: RNAcentral